AACGAACGCUGGCGGCAUGCUUAACACAUGCAAGUCGAACGGUGAACGCGGGAUCUUGCUCCCUCCGGAUCAGUGGCGAACGGGAGCGUACCCCUUGAGCGAUAUGCCCCGCACGCAGGGGUACGCGUUAGAACCGACGUCUAAGACCGGAUGCGACACGGCGGGGCAUGCUCUCCGCGUGUAAGGAAAUUCGGUUCGGGAUGAGCUCGCGGCCUAUCAGCUUGUUGGUGAGGUGACGGCUCACCAAGGCGACGCCGAGUAGCCGGCCUGAGAGGAGGACCGGCCACACCGGGACGGAUACGAGGCCGAGAAUCCUACGGGAGGAAGCAGUGGGGAAGAAUGCACAAUGGGCGCAGACAUGAUGAAGCAACGCCGCGGGAGGGACGAAAGCCUUCGGGUUGUAAUCAUCUUUUAGUACGGAAGAAGCGAAAGUGACGGUACCUGGAGAAAAAGCACCGGCUAACUCCGUG
Molecule: ribosomal RNA, 470 nt
Filed under: uncultured bacterium
Lineage: Bacteria
Description: partial 16S ribosomal RNA
Rfam family: Bacterial small subunit ribosomal RNA
Source: RNAcentral